This 665-nucleotide ribosomal RNA is filed under the name Trebouxia sp. clade I LM-2014. RNAcentral's name for it is "eukaryotic LSU rRNA". The stretch from base 221 to 374 matches the Rfam family "5.8S ribosomal RNA". Lineage: Eukaryota; Viridiplantae; Chlorophyta; Trebouxiophyceae; Trebouxiales; Trebouxiaceae. The record is from RNAcentral.
GCUCAAAGGCGUGUCUUGAUGGGUGCGUAGGCCAGGGGCAGGCAUCUUAUGAUGUCAGUUAGCCUGGCUGGGCGGGUCCAACACCAAUCGGGGCCUUUUGCCUUUCAGGCAAAGGGACUGCUCGGUUGUGAGGGGUGGCUGUUAACCUACUUCCAAUCAAUUUUUCUGAAGACAGUUCUAUUGGCUGGCUCUGCCGGCUAUAGUCUGACUAACUAAGGACAACUCUCAACAACGGAUAUCUUGGCUCCCGUAACGAUGAAGAACGCAGCGAAAUGCGAUACGUAGUGUGAAUUGCAGAAUUCCGUGAACCAUCGAAUCUUUGAACGCAAAUUGCGCUCGAGGCUUCGGCCAAGAGCAUGUCUGCCUCAGCGUCGGCUACUACCCUCAACUAAAUUUCAUUGGUUUUCCAAUGCAAAGGCAGUUGGAACUGGCCGUCCGGUUUGCCCAUUGGGUAGCCGGUCAGCUGAAACACAAUCACGCUUUGUGGGCUCCUUUCCAUUUGGAAAGGCGAGUUCCGAUUUGGUAGGUGACCUUUGCCGGUUGCAUGCCUUCGUUGCUCGCUAUGCCUAUCAUUGGCCGUGUGCAGGACGCCUUUUGGCUUUCGACCUGAGGUCAGGCAAGAACACCCGCUGAACUUAAGCAUAUCAAUAAGCGGAGGAAAAGAA